ACUCCUACGGGAGGCAGCAGUGGGGAAUUUUGCGCAAUGGGGGAAACCCUGACGCAGCAACGCCGCGUGAGUGAUGAAGGCCCUUGGGUCGUAAAGCUCUGACAGAGGGAAAGAAAUGUGGGUGGCUAAUAUCCAUACCACUUGACGGUACCCUCAAAGGAAGCACCGGCUAACUCCGUGCCAGCAGCCGCGGUAAUACGGAGGGUGCGAGCGUUGUUCGGAUUUAUUGGGCGUAAAGCGCGUGUAGGCGGUUUUAUAAGUCUGAUGUGAAAGCCCCGGGCUCAACCUGGGAAGUGCAUUGGAUACUGUAAGACUUGAAUACGGGAGAGGGCAGUGGAAUUCCUAGUGUAGGAGUGAAAUCCGUAGAUAUUAGGAGGAACACCGGUGGCGAAGGCGGCUGCCUGGACCGAUAUUGACGCUGAGACGCGAAAGCGUGGGUAGCAAACAGGAUUAGAUACCCUGGUAGUCCACGCUGUAAACGAUGAGAACUAGGUGUCGCGGGUA
RNAcentral lists this ribosomal RNA (504 nucleotides) under uncultured Geobacter sp. Its description in RNAcentral is "bacterial SSU rRNA". It matches the Rfam family "Bacterial small subunit ribosomal RNA", at positions 335 to 831 of the family's 1533-position model. The record is from RNAcentral. Lineage: Bacteria; Pseudomonadati; Thermodesulfobacteriota; Desulfuromonadia; Geobacterales; Geobacteraceae.